Molecule: ribosomal RNA, 385 nt
Filed under: uncultured bacterium
Lineage: Bacteria
Description: bacterial SSU rRNA
Rfam family: Bacterial small subunit ribosomal RNA
Source: RNAcentral
AUUGAACGCUGGCGGCAUGCCUUACACAUGCAAGUCGAACGGCAGCACGGGGCAACCUGGUGGCGAGUGGCGAACGGGUGAGUAAUGCAUCGGAACGUGCCAUUGAGUGGGGGAUAACGUAGCGAAAGUUGCGCUAAUACCGCAUAUUCUGUGAGCAGGAAAGCAGGGGACCGCAAGGCUUUGCGCUCUUUGAGCGGCCGAUGUCAGAUUAGCUAGUUGGUGAGGUAACGGCUUACCAAGGCGACGAUCUGUAGCGGGUCUGAGAGGAUGAUCCGCCACACUGGAACUGAGACACGGUCCAGACUCCUACGGAGGCAGCAGUGGGGAAUUUUGGACAAUGGGCGCAAGCCUGAUCCAGCCAUGCCGCGUGAGUGAAGAAGGCCUC